UACGGGGGGAGCAAGCGUUGUUCGGAUUUACUGGGCGUAAAGGGCGCGUAGGCGGCCACCGCAAGUCAAUUGUGAAAUCUCCGGGCUUAACUCGGAAAGGUCAACUGAUACUGCGGGGCUAGAGUGCGGAAGGGGCAACUGGAAUUCUCGGUGUAGCGGUGAAAUGCGUAGAUAUCGAGAGGAACACCUGCGGCGAAGGCGGGUUGCUGGGCCGACAUUGACGCUGAGGCGCGAAAGCCAGGGGAGCGAACGGG
Molecule: ribosomal RNA, 254 nt
Filed under: uncultured bacterium
Lineage: Bacteria
Description: partial 16S ribosomal RNA
Rfam family: Bacterial small subunit ribosomal RNA
Source: RNAcentral